AUCCAGCAAUGCCGCGUGUGUGAAGAAGGCCUUCGGGUUGUAAAGCACUUUUGUCCGGAAAGAAAACCUCUGGGUUAAUACCCCGGGGGGAUGACGGUACCGGAAGAAUAAGCACCGGCUAACUACGUGCCAGCAGCCGCGGUAAUACGUAGGGUGCAAGCGUUAAUCGGAAUUACUGGGCGUAAAGCGUGCGCAGGCGGUUUGCUAAGACAGAUGUGAAAUCCCCGGGCUUAACCUGGGAACUGCAUUUGUGACUGGCAGGCUAGAGUAUGGCAGAGGGGGGUAGAAUUCCACGUGUAGCAGUGAAAUGCGUAGAGAUGUGGAGGAAUACCGAUGGCGAAGGCAGCCCCCUGGGCCAAUACUGACGCUCAUGCACGAAAGCGUGGGGAGCAAACAGGAUUAGAUACCCUG
This 411-nucleotide ribosomal RNA is filed under the name Paraburkholderia phenazinium. Its description in RNAcentral is "bacterial SSU rRNA". It matches the Rfam family "Bacterial small subunit ribosomal RNA", at positions 386 to 789 of the family's 1533-position model. The record is from RNAcentral. Lineage: Bacteria; Pseudomonadati; Pseudomonadota; Betaproteobacteria; Burkholderiales; Burkholderiaceae.